RNAcentral lists this signal recognition particle RNA (275 nucleotides) under Macaca fascicularis (crab-eating macaque). RNAcentral describes it as "Metazoan signal recognition particle RNA (ENSMFAG00000054716.1)". It matches the Rfam family "Metazoan signal recognition particle RNA". Rfam says of the family: The signal recognition particle (SRP) is a universally conserved ribonucleoprotein. It is involved in the co-translational targeting of proteins to membranes. The record is from Rfam by way of RNAcentral. Lineage: Eukaryota; Metazoa; Chordata; Mammalia; Primates; Cercopithecidae.
GCCAGGCAUGGUGGCACGUGCCUGUAGUCCCAGCUACUCGGGAGGCUGAGACAGGAGAAUCGGUUGAACCCGGGAGGCGGAGCUUGCAGUGAGCCGAGAUCGCACCACUGCACUCCAGCCUGGGCGACAGAGCGAGACUCCAUUUCUUUUUCUCUCUCUUUUUUUUUUUUUUUGGAGACGGAGUCUCGCUCUGUCGCCCAGGCUGGAGUGCAGUGGCUGGAUCUCAGCUCACUGCAAGCUCCGCCUCCCGGGUUCAACCGAUUCUCCUGCCUCAG